This is a long non-coding RNA of Ipomoea nil (Japanese morning glory), 102 nucleotides long. RefSeq lists it as uncharacterized. The transcript is spliced from 3 exons. The record is from RefSeq and is a predicted model, not a curated record. Lineage: Eukaryota; Viridiplantae; Streptophyta; Magnoliopsida; Solanales; Convolvulaceae.
AUGGGUUCCCGUGCAGUUGGCCUUCUCAGGUGCAGUUAUGUGGUUGCUUAGGUGCGUAUUUUUCCUUCUUAAGAUGCGUGGUUUGUGUUCUUAAGGUGCGUA